Molecule: small nuclear RNA, 115 nt
Organism: Physella acuta
Lineage: Eukaryota; Metazoa; Mollusca; Gastropoda; Physidae
Product: U5 spliceosomal RNA
Source: RefSeq, a predicted model, not a curated record
UAACUCCGGUUUCUCUUCACAACGAGUAAAUCUUUCGCCUUUUACUAAAGAUUUCCGUGGAGAGGAGCAAAAUAAUGAGUCUAAUACUCUAUUUUUCAAACCCUACAAGUAGGGU